UGGGGAGUAUUGCACAAUGGGGGAAACCCGUAGCAUGCAGCGACGCCGCGUGUGGGAAGACGGUCCUCUGGAUUGUAAACCACUGUCCCCAGGGACGAAGAUGACGGUACCUGGGAGGGAAGCUCCGGCUAACUACGUGCCAGCAGCCGCGGUAAUACGUAGGGAGCGAGCGUUGUCCGGAAUUACUGGGUGUAAAGGGAGCGUAGGCGGGAUGGCAAGUUGGGUGUUAAAUCUACCGGCUCAACUGGUAGUCGCACUCAAAACUGCCGUUCUUGAGUGAAGUAGAGGCAGGCGGAAUUCCUAGUGUAGCGGUGAAAUGCGUAGAUAUUAGGAGGAACACCAGUGGCGAAGGCGGCCUGCUGGGCUUUUACUGACGCUGAGGCUCGAAAGUGUGGGAGCAAACAGGAUUAGAUACC
Molecule: ribosomal RNA, 416 nt
Filed under: uncultured bacterium
Lineage: Bacteria
Description: bacterial SSU rRNA
Rfam family: Bacterial small subunit ribosomal RNA
Source: RNAcentral